GCCAUUCCUGUUAUUCUCUGCUGUGCCUUACCCUAAUCUGCUAAUUGGAAUGGAUUACGGAAAGAAAAAAGUAUAAAGAGAAAAAUGAAACAACAGAAGGAAAGGUGCAAAUCGAGAAACUGGAAGGGCUUAUCUGGCACAAUCACAUGGAUCUACCGUAAGAGCUUGAUCAGCCGUUCUGAUGUCUGCACACACUGGGAACAGAUAGGGUGUUAACAUUUCCUGGAACAAUGCUUUACCAAUGGGCAGGAACUAGUAGGUUGAAUAAAGAAGUGAAUAUUGAAGAAACAAAGCUUAAGAACAGAAGAACAAAUAAAGAAAGAAGUUUCCUUUAUGGCAUUGUAGGAACUGUGCUGGGCAUUGGUCAUGAUGGAAUCCUGAAAUGAAAACACAUUUCUCAAGAUUUCUCCCAACAAAAGAACUGCUGGAUCAAGGGAC
Molecule: long non-coding RNA, 438 nt
Organism: Gorilla gorilla gorilla (western lowland gorilla)
Lineage: Eukaryota; Metazoa; Chordata; Mammalia; Primates; Hominidae
Exons: 5
Source: RefSeq, a predicted model, not a curated record